AACCUUGUUGCUAGGGACCGGGCGGUUUGCGGCAACCGUGGGCACUGCUGAAUUUGAAUUGAGGGGCGAGGGAAAAGUUUUCCUCAGGUGUGGUGGGGAGAGGGAGGCGGAUGCCGGGAAACCGUAGGGACGCGGUCAGAAAGGCGACGGGCUGUCGGAGUUGGAAAGGGACGCCUGGUUUCCCCCCAAGCGAACCGGGAUGGGAAGUGACUUCAAUGAGAUUGAACUUCAGCUGGAUUGAAAGAGAGGCUAGAAGUUCCGCUUGCCAGCAGCCUCCUUAGUAGAGCGGAAUGAGUAAUACCCACACGGUGCUUGUCUCACUUCCCCAUCCGCACCCGGCCCUCACCUGCUGUCACCUCGGCCUCCCACACCCGGUCCGCGCUCCCCGCCCUCUUCCUCGCGUAGAACCGUGGGAUCCUAGGUGGCAGGACUCAGAGCUAAGGUAUCCACAGGCCAUGAAUUCCUUCCUAAAUGAGCGGUCAUCGCCGUGCAGGACCUUAAGGCAAGAAGCAUCGGCUGACAGAUGUGAUCUCUGAACCUGAUAGAUUGCUGAUUUUAUCUUAUUUUAUCCUUGACUUGGUACAAGUUUUGGGAUUUCUGAAAAGACCAUACAGAUAACCACAAAUAUCAAGAAAGUCGUCUUCAGUAUUAAGUAGAAUUUAGAUUUAGGUUUCCUUCCUGCUUCCCACCUCCUUCGAAUAAGGAAACGUCUUUGGGACCAACUUUAUGGAAUAAAUAAGCUGAGCUGUAUUUCAAGUAAUAUAGUUAUAAAUUAACAAUGUAGCAGUUAUUGAUAGAGAAAUUGAGAAAACUGAAACGUGACCGGAGUAUUGGAAAUAACGUAGUACAUCACCUAGCACAAUGACACAUAGUAGGUGCUCAAUAAAUUUAUGCUUAUAAUUUUU
Molecule: long non-coding RNA, 905 nt
Filed under: Homo sapiens (human)
Lineage: Eukaryota; Metazoa; Chordata; Mammalia; Primates; Hominidae
Description: HSALNT0357175
Source: RNAcentral